GUUACCUGUAACGCAUGCAUUCAAUCGCCACUACUCUACCCUUGAAUCAGAACCGUUGUGGAGGGCAGCGCACUCUAUAUAAGCCGCCCUCCCCCACUGGUAAAAGGGUUAGAAAAACAUUGUACUCCAUAUUACACUCGGUAACAAGCUCCAAGAGCACUGAGACGUAGGGCUAUUACCUCCACCGUAGAGGGGCCUGAACUCAUA
This 207-nucleotide long non-coding RNA is filed under the name Hordeum vulgare. RNAcentral's name for it is "long non-coding RNA (HVUL_LNC014280)". The record is from RNAcentral. Lineage: Eukaryota; Viridiplantae; Streptophyta; Magnoliopsida; Poales; Poaceae.